RNAcentral lists this ribosomal RNA (473 nucleotides) under uncultured bacterium. RNAcentral describes it as "bacterial SSU rRNA". It matches the Rfam family "Bacterial small subunit ribosomal RNA", at positions 335 to 799 of the family's 1533-position model. The record is from RNAcentral.
ACUCCUACGGGAGGCAGCAGUGGGGAAUAUUGCACAAUGGGCGCAAGCCUGAUGCAGCCAUGCCGCGUGUAUGAAGAAGGCCUUCGGGUUGUAAAGUACUUUCAGCAGUGAGGAAGGUGGAUGCGUUAAUAGCGUAUUCAUUUGACGUUAGCUGCAGAAGAAGCACCGGCUAACUCCGUGCCAGCAGCCGCGGUAAUACGGAGGGUGCGAGCGUUAAUCGGAAUUACUGGGCGUAAAGCGCAUGCAGGUGGUUUGUUAAGUCAGAUGUGAAAGCCCGGGGCUCAACCUCGGAAUUGCAUUUGAAACUGGCAGACUAGAGUACUGUAGAGGGGGGUAGAAUUUCAGGUGUAGCGGUGAAAUGCGUAGAGAUCUGAAGGAAUACCGGUGGCGAAGGCGGCCCCUGGACAGAUACUGACACUCAGAUGCGAAAGCGUGGGGAGCAAAACAGGAUUAGAUACCCUGGUAGGAUAGCG